RNAcentral lists this ribosomal RNA (467 nucleotides) under uncultured bacterium. RNAcentral describes it as "partial 16S ribosomal RNA". It matches the Rfam family "Bacterial small subunit ribosomal RNA", at positions 28 to 507 of the family's 1533-position model. The record is from RNAcentral.
GAUGAACGCUGGCGGCGUGCUUAACACAUGCAAGUCGAACGGAAAGGCCGAAGCUUUCUUCGGUACUCGAGUGGCGAACGGGUGAGUAACACGUGGGUGAUCUGCCCUGGACUUCGGGAUAAGCUCAGGAAACUGGGGCUAAUACCGGAUAUGAGAAUCUCUUGGAUGGGGUUGGGGAAAGCGUUUGCGGUAUGGGAUGAGCUCGCGGCCUAUCAGCUUGUUGGGGGGGUAAUGGCCUACCAAGGCGUCGACGGGUAGCCGGCCUGAGAGGGUGUACGGCCACAUUGGGACUGAGAUACGGCCCAGACUCCUACGGGAGGCAGCAGUGGGGAAUAUUGCACAAUGGGCGCAAGCCUGAUGCAGCGACGCCGCGUGGGGGAUGACGGCCUUCGGGUUGUAAACUCCUUUCGCAACCGACGAAGCUUUUUGUGACGGUAGGUUGAGAAGAAGCACCGGCUAACUACGUG